GAUCCUGGCUUAGGACGAACGCUGGCGGCGUGCCUAACACAUGCAAGUCGAGCGGUGAAGCCCUCGGGGUGAAUUAGCGGCGGACGGGUGAGUAACACGUGGGUAACCUGCCUUAUAGAGGGGGAUAGCCUUCCGAAAGGAAGAUUAAUACCGCAUGAAAUGUUUUUAUCGCAUGGUAGAAACAUCAAAGGAGUAAUCCGCUAUAAGAUGGACCCGCGGCGCAUUAGCUAGUUGGUGAGGUAACGGCCCACCAAGGCGACGAUGCGUAGCCGACCUGAGAGGGUGAUCGGCCACAUUGGAACUGAGACACGGUCCAGACUCCUACGGGAGGCAGCAGUGGGGAAUAUUGCGCAAUGGGGGAAACCCUGAACGCAGCAACGCCGCGUGAAUGAAGAAGGCCUUAGGGUUGUAAAGUUCUGUUUUCUGGGACGAUAAUGACGGUACCAGAGGAGGAAGCCACGGCUAACUACGUGCCAGCCGCUGC
RNAcentral lists this ribosomal RNA (484 nucleotides) under uncultured bacterium. RNAcentral describes it as "bacterial SSU rRNA". It matches the Rfam family "Bacterial small subunit ribosomal RNA", at positions 15 to 518 of the family's 1533-position model. The record is from RNAcentral.